This 468-nucleotide ribosomal RNA is filed under the name uncultured bacterium. Its description in RNAcentral is "partial 16S ribosomal RNA". It matches the Rfam family "Bacterial small subunit ribosomal RNA", at positions 28 to 507 of the family's 1533-position model. The record is from RNAcentral.
GACGAACGCUGGCGGCGUGCUUAACACAUGCAAGUCGAACGGAAAGGCCCUGCUUUUGUGGGGUGCUCGAGUGGCGAACGGGUGAGUAACACGUGAGUAACCUGCCCUUGACUUUGGGAUAACUUCAGGAAACUGGGGCUAAUACCGGAUAGGAGCUCCUGCUGCAUGGUGGGGGUUGGAAAGUUUCGGCGGUUGGGGAUGGACUCGCGGCUUAUCAGCUUGUUGGUGGGGUAGUGGCAUACCAAGGCUUUGACGGGUAGCCGGCCUGAGAGGGUGACCGGCCACAUUGGGCCUACGAUACGGCCCAGACUCCUACGGGAGGCAGCAGUGGGGAAUAUUGCACAAUGGGCGGAAGCCUGAUGCAGCGACGCCGCGUGCGGGAUGACGGCCUUCGGGUUGUAAACCGCUUUCGCCUGUGACGAAGCGUGAGUGACGGUAAUGGGUAAAGAAGCACCGGCUAACUACGUG